This 851-nucleotide long non-coding RNA is filed under the name Salvia miltiorrhiza (redroot sage). RNAcentral describes it as "long non-coding RNA (SMIL_LNC010758)". The record is from RNAcentral. Lineage: Eukaryota; Viridiplantae; Streptophyta; Magnoliopsida; Lamiales; Lamiaceae.
AGCCAGCCAUAACGACUAAACCCCAAAUGAAAGUUAAACAAAAUGAAGGAGUAAUAAGUUCCACAAUACGAUAACAAAUUCAGAGUGUUUGCAGCGGAAAAACGUGUGAGUUAUGCAUAUGGAGAUGCAUACUCAAGGUUUCAUUACAUAACAUCAAAAGGGAAAUCCGCUCAACACCGAUCCAUUCCAUCGCCUGCUCAACCUGCACAUUUAGAAAUACAUGCAGGGCUGAGUAUAAAAAUACUCAGUGACAUAAGCCGAAAAUACAACAUGCAUACAUAUAUAAAUUGAACUGCCAUAACAGUAACACACAGGGGUUUUCAUAAAUGACCUGCGCUUACUAAAACAUUUCAUUCAUUUUCAUAAAGGUGGAUGCAUCCCAUUUUCAGUCUAUAUGAUCCAUAUCUGUCCUUUCUGUCACGCGCCGGGAAGGAGGCCUCCUUACCACGGACGCCAAGACCGGUCGCAAGCGACUCGCGGUCUCCAUGAGUGUACACGUUAACCCUAGCUAGCGACCUUUGUCUAGCAUAGGAUCCCAAUUGGAUUUCCUUUAAAGUUGGCGAACCAACACAGAUAGGAUACAUAUAAAAACAUAAACAUUUUGGCAGUCAAUCAUUUCAUAAACAUUUCAUUUUCAUAACAUUUUCAUUUUCAUAAAGGGCAUUAAACAUAUAAGCAUUUCAUAAGAACUGAAUAAAUAGUCAAAACAUAUCAUGCAUAUAUAUUCGCAUAUGAGGCCUACGUCACGCAGGGGAUCUCUAUAUACGUAAUAAUAAAAUAAUGCCCACCUCAAUUGUUCUUAAAGCUGGCGUGGAGUCGUUUCUUCUUCUGCUUCACUUUCUGUCGCCCGG